AGAGUUUGAUCAUGGCUCAGAUUGAACGCUGGCGGCAUGCCUUACACAUGCAAGUCGAACGGUAACGGGCCUUCGGGUGCCGACGAGUGGCGAACGGGUGAGUAAUGUAUCGGAACGUACCUUCAGUGGGGGAUAACGUAGCGAAAGUUACGCUAAUACCGCAUAUUCUGUGAGCAGGAAAGCAGGGGAUCGCAAGACCUUGCGCUGAUUGAGCGGCCGAUAUCAGAUUAGCUAGUUGGUGAGGUAAAGGCUCACCAAGGCGACGAUCUGUAGCGGGUCUGAGAGGAUGAUCCGCCACACUGGAACUGAGACACGGUCCAGACUCCUACGGGAGGCAGCAGGUGGGGAAUUUUGGACAAUGGGGCAACCCUGAUCCAGCCAUGCCGCGUGAGUGAAGAAGGCCUUCGGGUUGUAAAGCUCUUUCGGCCGGGAAGAAAUCGUAUGGGCUAAUACCCUGUGCGGAUGACGGUACCGGCAUAAGAAGCACCGGCUAACUACGUG
Molecule: ribosomal RNA, 501 nt
Filed under: uncultured bacterium
Lineage: Bacteria
Description: bacterial SSU rRNA
Rfam family: Bacterial small subunit ribosomal RNA
Source: RNAcentral